This 253-nucleotide ribosomal RNA is filed under the name uncultured Conexibacter sp. RNAcentral's name for it is "partial 16S ribosomal RNA". It matches the Rfam family "Bacterial small subunit ribosomal RNA", at positions 524 to 776 of the family's 1533-position model. The record is from RNAcentral. Lineage: Bacteria; Bacillati; Actinomycetota; Thermoleophilia; Solirubrobacterales; Conexibacteraceae.
UACGUAGGGUGCAAGCGUUGUCCGGAAUCAUUGGGCGUAAAGAGCGUGUAGGCGGUUCGAUCAGUCUGCUGUGAAAGUCCAGGGCUCAACCCUGGGAUGCCGGUGGAUACUGUCGGACUAGAGUCCGGAAGGGGCGAGUGGAAUUCCUGGUGUAGCGGUGAAAUGCGCAGAUAUCAGGAGGAACACCGAUGGCGAAGGCAGCUCGCUGGGACGGUACUGACGCUGAGACGCGAAAGCGUGGGGAGCAAACAGG